ACUGGCGAGGAUGACAUACACUUGCCCUCACUUAGACUAUAGUUCAUUGAUGAGAGCACCUGGUAUUCUGAGCCAGU
This 77-nucleotide small nucleolar RNA is filed under the name Moschus moschiferus (Siberian musk deer). RNAcentral's name for it is "Small nucleolar RNA SNORD103/SNORD85 (ENSMMSG00000009030.1)". It matches the Rfam family "Small nucleolar RNA SNORD103/SNORD85". From Rfam's summary of the family: This family includes the snoRNAs SNORD103 (U103) and SNORD85 (HBII-251) . The members of this family belong to the C/D class of snoRNAs which contain the C (UGAUGA) and D (CUGA) box motifs. Lineage: Eukaryota; Metazoa; Chordata; Mammalia; Artiodactyla; Moschidae. The record is from Rfam by way of RNAcentral.